RNAcentral lists this ribosomal RNA (600 nucleotides) under uncultured fungus. RNAcentral's name for it is "eukaryotic LSU rRNA". The stretch from base 233 to 386 matches the Rfam family "5.8S ribosomal RNA". The record is from RNAcentral. Lineage: Eukaryota; Fungi.
UUGGUCAUUUAGAGGAAGUAAAAGUCGUAACAAGGUUUCCGUAGGUGAACCUGCGGAGGGAUCAUUACACAAAUAUGAAGGCGGGCUGGAACCUCUCGGGGUUACAGCCUUGCUGAAUUAUUCACCCUUGUCUUUUGCGUACUUCUUGUUUCCUUGGUGGGUUCGCCCACCACUAGGACAAACAUAAACCUUUUGUAAUUGCAAUCAGCGUCAGUAACAAAUUAAUAAUUACAACUUUCAACAACGGAUCUCUUGGUUCUGGCAUCGAUGAAGAACGCAGCGAAAUGCGAUAAGUAGUGUGAAUUGCAGAAUUCAGUGAAUCAUCGAAUCUUUGAACGCACAUUGCGCCCUUUGGUAUUCCAAAGGGCAUGCCUGUUCGAGCGUCAUUUGUACCCUCAAGCUUUGCUUGGUGUUGGGCGUCUUGUCUCUAGCUUUGCUGGAGACUCGCCUUAAAGUAAUUGGCAGUCGGCCUACUGGUUUCGGAGCGCAGCACAAGUCGCACUCUCUAUCAGCAAAGGUCUAGCAUCCAUUAAGCCUUUUUUUCAACUUUUGACCUCGGAUCAGGUAGGGAUACCCGCUGAACUUAAGCAUAUCAAUAAG